GACGAACGCUGGCGGCGUGCUUAACACAUGCAAGUCGAACGGAGAAUUUAUUUCGGUAAAUUCUUAGUGGCGAACGGGUGAGUAACGCGUAGGCAACCUGCCCUUUGGAUGGGGACAACAUUCCGAAAGGAGUGCUAAUACCGAAUGUGAUCCAUUUCUCGCAUGAGAGAUGGAUGAAAGAUGGCCUCUAUUUAUAAGCUAUCGCCAAAGGAUGGGCCUGCGUCUGAUUAGUUAGUUGGUGGGGUAACGGCUCACCAAGACGAUGAUCAGUAGCCGGUCUGAGAGGAUGAACGGCCACAUUGGGACUGAGACACGGCCAAACUCCUACGGAGGCAGCAGUGGGGAAUCUUCCGCAAUGGACGAAAGUCUGACGGAGCAACGCCGCGUGAGUGAUGAAGGUUUUCGGACUGUAAAACUCUAGUUGUCAGGGACGAAAGGUGCGAUCUGCGAAUAGUUGAUCGUAUUGACGGUACCUGACGAGGAAGCCACGCUAACG
This 496-nucleotide ribosomal RNA is filed under the name uncultured bacterium. RNAcentral describes it as "bacterial SSU rRNA". It matches the Rfam family "Bacterial small subunit ribosomal RNA", at positions 28 to 502 of the family's 1533-position model. The record is from RNAcentral.